UCUCUCUCCAGGUGAAGUUUGUGCAAGUGUGAGUUAAGAGAUUUGAUGAAAUUAUUCACCCAGAUGUAAGUGUCGGAAAAAAUGAAGACAGGCUAAUUUUGUGAUAAAUCAAAUUUGAAAGAGAGUUGUGGAUGAGAGAGCUGCCCCAUGGCUGGGCUGUUUUUACGUAUACUGGCUGCUUAC
This 183-nucleotide long non-coding RNA is filed under the name Gorilla gorilla gorilla (western lowland gorilla). RNAcentral's name for it is "lncRNA (ENSGGOG00000044343.1)". The record is from RNAcentral. Lineage: Eukaryota; Metazoa; Chordata; Mammalia; Primates; Hominidae.